UCAUGGCUCAGUGGCAGAGAAUCUGCUUUGCAUGCAGAAGGUCCCAGGUUCAAUCCCCACCAUCUCAA
RNAcentral lists this transfer RNA (68 nucleotides) under Podarcis lilfordi (Lilford's wall lizard). Its description in RNAcentral is "tRNA.Ala". The record is from RNAcentral. Lineage: Eukaryota; Metazoa; Chordata; Lepidosauria; Squamata; Lacertidae.